RNAcentral lists this ribosomal RNA (479 nucleotides) under uncultured bacterium. Its description in RNAcentral is "partial 16S ribosomal RNA". It matches the Rfam family "Bacterial small subunit ribosomal RNA", at positions 28 to 523 of the family's 1533-position model. The record is from RNAcentral.
GACGAACGCUGGCGGCGUGCUUAACACAUGCAAGUCGAACGGUAAGGCCCUUCGGGGUACACGAGUGGCGAACGGGUGAGUAACACGUGGGUGAUCUGCCCUGCACUUCGGGAUAAGCCUGGGAAACUGGGUCUAAUACCGGAUAGGACCCUGGGAUGCAUGUCCUGGGGUGGAAAGCCUUUGCGGUGUGGGAUGGGCCCGCGGCCUAGCAGCUUGUUGGGGGGAGGAUGGCAUACCAAGGCGAAGAGUGGUAGACGGCCUGAGAGGGUGAGCGGGCCAGAGGGGGACUGAGAUACGGCCCAGGCGCCUACGGGAGGCAGCGGUGGGGAAUCUUGCACCAUGGGCGCAAGCCUGAUGCAGCGACGCCGCGGGAGGGAUGACGGCCUUCGGGUUGUAAACCUCUUUCAGCACCGACGAAGCGCAAGUGACGGUAGGUGCAGAAGAAGGACCGGCCAACUACGUGCCAGCCGCCGCCGUAA